AGGGUUUGAUCAUGGCUCAGGACGAACGCUGGCGGCGUGCCUAACACAUGCAAGUCGAACGGGGUACCCUUUAAGGAAGCUUCGGCGGAAUUAGAGGAAUACCUAGUGGCGGACGGGUGAGUAACGCGUGAGCAACCUGCCUUUAAGAGGGGGAUAACAUACCGAAAGGUAUGCUAAUACCGCAUAACAUAUUGAUACCGCAUGAUAUUGAUAUCAAAGAUUUAUCGCUUAAAGAUGGGCUCGCGUCCGAUUAGAUAGUUGGUGAGGUAACGGCUCACCAAGUCGACGAUCGGUGGCCGGACUGAAAGGUUGAACAGCCACAUUGGGACUGAGACACGGCCCAG
This 344-nucleotide ribosomal RNA is filed under the name uncultured bacterium. RNAcentral's name for it is "bacterial SSU rRNA". It matches the Rfam family "Bacterial small subunit ribosomal RNA", at positions 8 to 334 of the family's 1533-position model. The record is from RNAcentral.